AACCUAGCACACCUGCGGUGUGUACCUGCGGAAGGAUCAUUAACCUUUCAAAUCAGGGUGCGGCGCGGCCCCCGAGGAGCGGAAACAAUCCUUGGGAGGUAUGCGGGGGCUUCGAGCCCCCCAUUUACGCACGCACGACUGCCAUCCUUACUUUACGAGCACCUUCUGUUCUCCCUCGGCGGGGCAACCUGCCGUUGGAACCGAAUAAACUCUUUUUGCACCUAGCAUUACCUGUUCCGA
This 240-nucleotide unclassified non-coding RNA is filed under the name soil metagenome. RNAcentral describes it as "partial contains 5.8S ribosomal RNA, internal transcribed spacer 2, and large subunit ribosomal RNA". The record is from RNAcentral.